UCCGACUGAGUGGCGAACUGGUGAGUAACACGUGGGUAACCUGCCCAGAAGAAGGGGAUAACACCUGGAGACAGAUGCUAAUACCGUAUAACAACAAGAACCACAUGGUUCUUGUUUGAAAGCUGGCCUUCGUGCUAGUGCUUCUAGAUGGACCCGCGGCGUAUUAGCUGGUUGGUGAGAUAAUAGCUCACCAAGGCAAUGAUACGUAGCAGACCUGAGAGGGUAAUCUGCCACAAUGGGACUGAGACACGGCCCAUACUCC
RNAcentral lists this ribosomal RNA (262 nucleotides) under uncultured Lactobacillaceae bacterium. Its description in RNAcentral is "partial 16S ribosomal RNA". It matches the Rfam family "Bacterial small subunit ribosomal RNA", at positions 86 to 339 of the family's 1533-position model. The record is from RNAcentral. Lineage: Bacteria; Bacillati; Bacillota; Bacilli; Lactobacillales; Lactobacillaceae.